This 482-nucleotide ribosomal RNA is filed under the name uncultured bacterium. RNAcentral's name for it is "partial 16S ribosomal RNA". It matches the Rfam family "Bacterial small subunit ribosomal RNA", at positions 28 to 507 of the family's 1533-position model. The record is from RNAcentral.
GACGAACGCUGGCGGCGUGCCUAACACAUGCAAGUCGAACGGAACUGUUUUGAAAGAUUUCUUCGGAAUGAAUUUGAUUUAGUUUAGUGGCGGACGGGUGAGUAACGCGUGAGUAACCUGCCUUCAAGAGGGUAAUAACAUUCUGAAAAGAAUGCUAAUACCGCAUGACAUAUCGGAACCACAUGGUUUUGAUAUCAAAGAUUUUAUCGCUUGAAGAUGGACUCGCGUCCGAUUAGUUAGUUGGUGAGGUAACGGCUCACCAAGACCGCGAUCGGUAGCCGGACUGAGAGGUUGAACGGCCACAUUGGGACUGAGACACGGCCCAGACUCCUACGGGAGGCAGCAGUGGGGGAUAUUGCGCAAUGGGGGCAACCCUGACGCAGCAACGCCGCGUGAAGGAUGAAGGUUUUCGGAUUGUAAACUUCUUUUAUUAAGGACGAAAAAUGACGGUACUUAAUGAAUAAGCUCCGGCUAACUACGUG